Neofelis nebulosa (Clouded leopard) is the source of this 3176-nucleotide long non-coding RNA. RefSeq lists it as uncharacterized. The record is from RefSeq and is a predicted model, not a curated record. NCBI's taxonomy places the organism in Eukaryota, Metazoa, Chordata, Mammalia, Carnivora, Felidae. The transcript has 2 exons.
CCCUUGACCUAGCCUUUCUCCCCGCCCUCCCACUAACUUCCGUGGCUCCUGCCCAAGUACUCCUAAAUGCUUACGGGAGAUCCUUGGAACCCUGAGUCCUAUUUUUCAGGGAGCAGCAUCCUUAAAGGAAAACCUAGAUCUGUUUUUGUUCAUUUCAUUGGGUUGACUAUAUUCAUUUGCAAGGCAGAUAUAGCUAACACACAUGUGUGUGUGUUUAUACACACACACACACACACACACACACCCCAGAUUGUGGUAGCUUUUGGAAACUGUCUGAGGCACAGAAAAUAACUUGCCUGACAAGACAUCAAAGACUUGCAAAGAGACCACAGCAGCAAAGGCCUUCAGACUGCCUAGCAAUUUCCACGUGAUUGAUGAUAAGCAUCUAUUUGCUCCAGUAAGUCGAAGUAGAACUGUAACCUUUUAUUUGUUCCGGGAAACAGUAACCGAAGUCACAAAAUCAUAAAUAAUAAAAGAUAGAAAAGUCCUCUUUUAACCUAAUGGACUAAAAGAUCUCUUGCUUUUCAUUUCUGCUAAUGGCCUCCCCAACUUGGCACUCUCCGAGCUGGCCAAGGACAGGCAGACCGAGCCUCAGUUAGCAAGCAGGACUUGGUCCAAAAGAUCGUUUGUAAGGUGCUUGUUUGGAACGCAGAAUGCAUUUUCCCUAAAAAUCUGUCUUUCCCAGGGUGACUGGGCACUCAAGUGCCUCUUGUACGGGACUCCCCAACCUGUAGAGUACCUGGGCGCUGGGUCUUUGAAGGCAAGCUGUCUGCAGUGCCAGAGGGAGGAAACAAGUCAGCUCUCGCUCCUGUAGCCCCAGCCCAGCACAAUUUAAAUGUAAGCGCAUUUUCUUUUUUAUCCUCUCACCCCCCUUGUGGCAUCCAGGUCCCGGGGCCCAAAUCUCACGGCUCACGAUCUGCCUUAUGUGCUCUAGGCUGCUCGAGCGAGGGAGCCCGUGACCCUAAAUUACCUACUUGUUUCCACUUCCUGAUCGGUCAGACUUCCAUUUCCUCAGAGCAGCUGAUAACGGCUAAGGGCUAGAGGAAAAGUAAACGGAGCAGGUAUGAAUUCAUACCAGCAGGUGAAUGAAUGACUGAAAUCCUCUUAAUAUAUUCUCAUGUUAAAAUGGGUUGGUUGUGACAUUUGAGAGUCAUCAUGGGCCGUAAGUUAAAGAGGAUGAAAACAAGGGGGUUAAGGAUUCAGAAACUGCACACCCAUGAGCGGGAUGCUCAGGCUAAUUACUAUACCCUGUUUCCAGAACACUGGCAGUCAGGAAACAAUUCUUUUUUGGGGGGAAAAAAGGAAGGGGGAUGGUCACAGGUUCAGACACUAGGGAAUCUCUCCUCAGUGAAUCAGCUGGUUCUCUGCCAGAUCACCCUUGAGAACUCCCAGUGGAUAAGCUGCUUUCAUGUACCCAAAACCAUCAACCAGCUUUGUUGAUGCUUCAUGAUGAAAUCUUAACAGACAGCCGAGGGUCGUCAAAUGUUUGUGGAAAGUUAUAACAUGAAAGAGAAAGACCCAAACAGAGGAAACAACGAACGAAACUUCAAAAAUAGCAUAGUUCAUACCCAUAGAGAAACAGGAGAAGACAUCUUAUCCAUUAAAUGAGAAACGGUGUAAAAUAAACAAUCUGAGUAAGAAAGAACGUUUGGCUAUUAAAAAAUAGAAUGUUUGAAAAAAAAAGAUACUCAAAAGAAAAGACAGAAGAUAAUUGGUGAAAACUUCAGAAAAUAGAAGAAAAAGAUGGAUGGAAAAAAUGACAGAAAAGAUGAGAAAAUGAGAGGAUCCAUCUUGAAAGUCCCACAUCCAGCAAAUAUGGAGAGAAGGAAAUUUCUCAGAAUGGAAAGAUAAUAGACUCAAGAUUGAAGAGCCUCCUGAAUGAGCAGCAAAAUGAAUGGGGAAGAAAAAAAAACAAAAAGUUCAGACCAGCUCACAUCUUUAAAAAACUUAUAAACAUAUAUACUUAAAAAACUUAGAGUUCUCCAGGACUCUAAGGAUGAACGGAAGAUUCCAAGAUCUUCCUAAAAAAAGCAGGUAACAUACAAAGGAUACAAAGGUUAUAUUAUCGUUAAGUCGGAAAAAAUGGAAGAAACCCUUCCUAACGCUGAGGCAAGAAGAUUUUUCCACCUAAAAUUCCACACCCAUCCAGGGAAACUCUCAGUCAAGAAAGCGUGCUCAUAGCAAAAGGCUCAGCUCUCCAGUGAACAACGAAUAAUUAUCCCGGUGGGGGUGUUGAUCAGAGUCAAUCAAAAGUUGUGAUACAACUACAUGGGGGGGGGGGGGGAAGGAGUGAGCCGUGUGAGGGUGUGUGAGAGAGGUCACUCCCCAUCUACCAUGGCAACAAAUCAAUAGACGCUGCCUUAAACCAAUGGAUCAAGAAAGCUCAUUAUAUGCACCCUGUUCAGAAAUAUGACAAAAAUGCCAGGGAAAACAGCUGAGAGCCUCUUGGAAGUUGGCCUAUUGGGUGGUGCCGUUACUUUUCAUUACAACUCUUUUGGUAUGAUCUGGCUUUUUAAAAUGUACUUGGAAUAUUUUCAUAUAUUUAGUAAUGUAUUUUAUUUAUUUAUUUAUUUAUUUACUUACUUACUUACUUAUUUACUUACUUAUUUACUUACUUACCAACUGAGCCAUUCAGGCAUCCCUAGCAAUUUUUAAAUAAAAUCAGAGAACUAGGAAAAUAAAUGAUAGAUUAGUUGUUAAACUAAAUGGAUCUCUAGUGGAAUUUCAGGGUGAGUAAAAUUCAGAGACUGUGGGGAAAUGGACGAGUGGGAAGGGGGAAGAGGUACAAUUAAAACAUGAGUUCACACUGAUAAGAAACUCAUUUAUGUAUGAAAUAAUUAUGAAAAUGUGCUUGGUUUUAGAAAAUAUAUGCUGAAGUAGUUAGGAGUAAAGAGACAUCAUGUCUGCAACUUACUCUCAAAUGGUUCAGAGGGAAGAAAUGUAAAUUAUAUACCUUUUUAUUCUAAAACUAAAGCUUAAUAAAUACAAGGUACUAACAUUUUUAAACAAUAGCUAGUAAAUACUUAGGGACUGUACAGAAAUACGGUAUCCUUCUAAAAUUUGGGGGCAACCACAAUGGGUUUUUUUUGUCCAGGAAGUGAAUUUAAAUGGUUUAAAUGAAAAACGAAAAAUUCUUGUUAAUGAAUACAGGAGUUGAAUAAAAACGUAAUGAAUAA